This 254-nucleotide ribosomal RNA is filed under the name uncultured bacterium. RNAcentral describes it as "partial 16S ribosomal RNA". It matches the Rfam family "Bacterial small subunit ribosomal RNA", at positions 524 to 776 of the family's 1533-position model. The record is from RNAcentral.
UACGGAGGGGGCAAGCGUUGUUCGGAAUUACUGGGCGUAAAGGGCGCGCAGGCGGCUGCUCAAGUCAGGCGUGAAAGGCCUGGGCUCAACCCGGGAAUUGCGCUUGAGACUGGGCUGGCUUGAGUGCGGGAGAGGAUGGUGGAAUUCCCAGUGUAGCGGUGAAAUGCGUAGAUAUCGGGAGGAACACCUGUGGCGAAAGCGGCUCACUGGACCAUUACUGACGCUGAUGCUCGAAAGCUAGGGGAGCAAACAGG